UUUUUUAAUUGAAGACUGGAAUGAAAGGUAGAUACUAAGAGGAAAGUUUUAUUUGAUGAUUUUGAAUUUAAAUUAAAAAUUAAAAUGUUUUUAUGAAAUCUUGGGACGAGAAGACCCUAGAAGCUUAUAAAUUACUAUAUUUUUUAUUGGGGCAAUAUUUGAAGAGAAAAAUUUUUGAAAUUUUUGAAGGAAAAAAUGAGAAGUUACUCUAGGGAUAACAGCAUUAUUUAGUUAACGAGUUCUUAUUAAUAACUAAGAUUAUGACCUCGAUGUUGAAUUAAAAUUAAUAUUGGGUGAAGGAGCUUAAUAAUUUAGUCUGUUCGACUAUUGAAAUUUUACGUGAUCUGAGUUCAGACCGG
Molecule: ribosomal RNA, 359 nt
Filed under: Nesopachylus maculatus
Lineage: Eukaryota; Metazoa; Arthropoda; Arachnida; Opiliones; Gonyleptidae
Description: partial large subunit ribosomal RNA
Rfam family: Bacterial large subunit ribosomal RNA (bases 104-359)
Source: RNAcentral